AACGAAUUCUUGUUAGGCUUUUUGGGGAGGAGAAACCCAAACCUGAUCCCGCAAGUGGAGUAGCUGGCGGCCCGAGUCGCCCCAGAUCUCCGCCUCUUCUCCCAUCUCAACAACCCCUCUUGAGACCUCCGCACGUCGGUGGUGGUGGUUGGGGCCGGCCAUGGCGGCGUCUUCGGCCCUCUCGUCCUUUCGCUACGCCGAUAGCCUCGUGGUGGUCGGCAUCUCCGUCUGCACGGCCUUCCUCUGCGAGGCCAUCUCUUGGCUCCUGAUCUACCGCACAUCUACAUACAAAUCCCUUCGCUCCUCCAUCGACAAGGCCUCCAAGAAGCUCGACACCAUGAAGUCCACCUCCGCCUCAUCCUCCUCCAAGAAACCCUCGUCCUCCUCGUCCUUGUCGUCGUCGUCGUCGUCGUCUUCGUCCCGGGCCAAGAAGAUGGACCGCGUGGAGACCAGCCUCAAGGACGCUACCCGCGAACUCUCCCUCUCCAAGUUCAAGUCCGGCGCCGUCGUCGCUGCCGUCCUCUUCGUCGUCUUCGGCCUCCUCAAUUCCCUAUUCGAGGGCCGCGUGGUGGCUAAGCUACCCUUCGCUCCCAUCCCGCUGGUCCUCAAGAUGAGCCACCGCGGUCUGCCCGGGACCGAUCCCACCGACUGCUCCAUGGUGUUCCUGUACUUCCUCUGCUCUAUAAGCAUCCGGACCAAUCUGCAGAAGUUCUUGGGUUUUGCGCCCCCAAGAGGCGCGGCCGGUGCCGGACUCUUCCCGAUGCCCGAUCCCAAAGCUAGCUGAUUGUCUGAUCCGAAGAUUGAGGUGCGGACCGUGCCCCCGAGGCAUCAAAUUUGUCUAUCGUCGAAUUCUUGAGAAGGCGCAUCAUAGUGAGGUUAUGGAGGAUGGUUCUUUCUAGGUAACUCAGGAAUAAUAUUUUGGAAGUUAAAAAGGACCUCAGACAAUUUUAGUGCUUUGCUGACAAGUUAAAGGAGCUUCCACUGGUAAAAGGAUUGUGCUGUAUGGUCAUUAUUAUUUUGGUGAAACUUGAUGAAUUUGGUAAUAACCUAUUAUGGUGA
Molecule: RNA transcript, 1059 nt
Organism: Musa acuminata subsp. malaccensis (wild Malaysian banana)
Lineage: Eukaryota; Viridiplantae; Streptophyta; Magnoliopsida; Zingiberales; Musaceae
Source: RefSeq, a predicted model, not a curated record